Molecule: ribosomal RNA, 253 nt
Filed under: uncultured bacterium
Lineage: Bacteria
Description: partial 16S ribosomal RNA
Rfam family: Bacterial small subunit ribosomal RNA
Source: RNAcentral
UACAGGGGUCUCAAGCGUUGUUCGGAUUCAUUGGGCGUAAAGGGUGCGUAGGCGGCGCGGUAAGCCGGGUGUGAAAUCUCGGGGCUUAACUCCGAAACUGCAUUCGAUACUGCCGUGCUUGAGGACUGGAGAGGAGACUGGAAUUUACGGUGUAGCGGUGAAAUGCGUAGAUAUCGUAAGGAAGACCAGUGGCGAAGGCGGGUCUCUGGACAGUUCCUGACGCUGAGACACGAAGGCCAGGGGAGCAAACGGG